UACGUAGGGUGCAAGCGUUGUCCGGAAUUAUUGGGCGUAAAGAGCUCGUAGGCGGUCUGUCGCGUCGGCUGUGAAAACCCGAGGCUCAACCUCGGGCCUGCAGUCGAUACGGGCAAACUAGAGUACUGCAGGGGAGACUGGAAUUCCUGGUGUAGCGGUGAAAUGCGCAGAUAUCAGGAGGAACACCGGUGGCGAAGGCGGCAUCCUGGACCGAGAUUGACGCUGAUGCGCGAAAGCCAGGGGAGCAAACGGG
This 253-nucleotide ribosomal RNA is filed under the name uncultured bacterium. RNAcentral describes it as "partial 16S ribosomal RNA". It matches the Rfam family "Bacterial small subunit ribosomal RNA", at positions 524 to 776 of the family's 1533-position model. The record is from RNAcentral.